UUCGUCGAUGUCAAAAUUCUAAAAUAUAAAUGCAUUCGUUAAGGAAAUUCUGUGGGUUGUCUGGCAAAUCGGGACAAUGUCUCCAUCGGUCUGCUAACUCUACUUUGUGGAUGAAUUCGUGUUGGGAGCUGCGUAACAGAGCUCACAAAAUGGACCUCAUUGAAAAAUACAAGCGAUGUUCACGAAUUGAUCGACUGUUCUACAGACCCCAACCACUUAGUCAGCGCAUCUAUAGUCGAACCUGGCUAAAAAAAAUAGACUCUGCCACAGAAUCGAUGAUCGCACAGCAUAAAGAUCGAAUUCAAUAUAGACCGAUUUAUAAAAGUAUUCCAAAAUAUGAACCUGUCUUUCUUGAUGACGAGCCCAAUGAUACAUGUGUACAACUUGACGUUCGCAAGCGAGAAAGUAGGUCUGUCAAGAACCUCUUAGCCAAGGGAAAAAGAUAUUUGGAUCAUCAUAGACUGAUAUGCAAAGACACACACAAAAAUAAAUAUCACUGUCAGUUUAUACACUCUGACAUGGGAAAAACUAGUUCAAAAUAUACCAUUGGAAGCAAACCUAUUAAAAGGACGAGGGCACCUUUAAGCACAUAUAUGGACGGAACUACUAAUCCCUUGAUAAUAAAUAGGUUCAAGCGUUAUUGUCAUAAGCGCAAAUUCAGCGAUAUAAGUCCUAGCGCAUUUUCAUUAGAACGUAGUACAUUUUAAAUAAAAAUAUGCAGUGUUUAACCAAAAG
Drosophila innubila is the source of this 735-nucleotide long non-coding RNA. RefSeq lists it as uncharacterized. The transcript is spliced from 2 exons. NCBI's taxonomy places the organism in Eukaryota, Metazoa, Arthropoda, Insecta, Diptera, Drosophilidae. The record is from RefSeq and is a predicted model, not a curated record.